AUUGAACGCUGGCGGCAUGCCUAACACAUGCAAGUCGAACGGAAACGAUGGGAGCUUGCUCCCAGGCGUCGAGUGGCGGACGGGUGAGUAAUACUUAGGAAUCUGCCCAGUAGUGGGGGAUAGCCCGGGGAAACUCGGAUUAAUACCGCAUACGCCCUACGGGGGAAAGCGGGGGAUCUUCGGACCUCGCGCUAUUGGAUGAGCCUAAGUCGGAUUAGCUUGUUGGUGAGGUAAAAGCUCACCAAGGCGACGAUCCGUAGCUGGUCUGAGAGGACGAUCAGCCACACUGGGACUGAGACACGGCCCAGACUCCUACGGGAGGCAGCAGUGGGGAAUAUUGGACAAUGGGGGAAACCCUGAUCCAGCAAUGCCGCGUGUGUGAAGAAGGCCUGCGGGUUGUAAAGCACUUUCAGUAGAGAAGAAAAGCCGGCGGCUAAUACCCGACCGGUCUUGACGUAACCUACAGAAGAAGCACCGGCUAACUCCGUGCCAGCAGCCGCGGUAAUACGGAGGGUGCAAGCGUUAAUCGGAAUUACUGGGCGUAAAGCGCGCGUAGGUGGUUGGGUAAGUCAAAUGUGAAAGCCCCGGGCUUAACCUGGGAAUUGCAUUCGAUACUGCUUAACUAGAGUGUGGGAGAGGGAAGUGGAAUUUCCGGUGUAGCGGUGAAAUGCGUAGAUAUCGGAAGGAACACCAGUGGCGAAGGCGACUUCCUGGCCCAACACUGACACUGAGGCGCGAAAGCGUGGGUAGCAAACAGGAUUAGAUACCCUGGUAGUCCACGCCGUAAACGAUGAGAACUAGAUGUCGGGGGGAUUUGCCCUUCGGUGUCGCAGUUAACGCAUUAAGUUCUCCGCCUGGGGAGUACGCCGGC
RNAcentral lists this ribosomal RNA (871 nucleotides) under uncultured bacterium. Its description in RNAcentral is "bacterial SSU rRNA". It matches the Rfam family "Bacterial small subunit ribosomal RNA", at positions 28 to 889 of the family's 1533-position model. The record is from RNAcentral.